UUAAUACUCCCUCCGUCCCAAAAUAAGUGACUCAACUUUGUACUAGCUUUGUACUAAAAUUAGUACAAAGUUGAGUCACUUAUUUUGGGACGGAGGGAGUAUUAA
Non-coding RNA from Triticum aestivum (bread wheat), 105 nucleotides. The record is from Rfam. NCBI's taxonomy places the organism in Eukaryota, Viridiplantae, Streptophyta, Magnoliopsida, Poales, Poaceae.